This 407-nucleotide ribosomal RNA is filed under the name uncultured bacterium. RNAcentral describes it as "partial 16S ribosomal RNA". It matches the Rfam family "Bacterial small subunit ribosomal RNA", at positions 30 to 526 of the family's 1533-position model. The record is from RNAcentral.
AUUGAACGCUAGCGGGAUGCCUUACACAUGCAAGUCGAACGGAGUGGCGAACGGGUGAGUAAUGUAUCGGAACGUGCCCAGUCGCGGGGGAUAACUAAGCGAAAGCGUAGCUAAUACCGCAUACUAUUUGAGCGGCCGAUAGAGGAUUAGCUAGUUGGUGGGGUAACGGCUCACCAAGGCGACGAUCCGUAGCUGGGUUGAGAGGGAGACCAGCCACAGUGGGACGGAGACACGGCCCAGACUCCUACGGGAGGCAGCAGUGGGGAAUGUUGGACAAUGGGGGAAAGCCUGAUGCAGCCAUGCCGCGUGUGCGAUGAAGGCCUUCGGGUUGUAAAGCACUUUUGGCAGGAAAGCGGUACCUUAAGAAUAAGCACCGGCUAACUACGUGCCAGCAGCCGCGGUAAUAC